RNAcentral lists this ribosomal RNA (497 nucleotides) under uncultured bacterium. RNAcentral describes it as "partial 16S ribosomal RNA". It matches the Rfam family "Bacterial small subunit ribosomal RNA", at positions 28 to 507 of the family's 1533-position model. The record is from RNAcentral.
GAUGAACGCUGGCUGCGUUCCUAAUAUAUGCAAGUCUAGCGAACGUACUAGAAGCUUGCUUCUCUGAUUUUAGCGGCGGACGGGCGAGUAACACGUGGAUAACCUACCUAUAAUACUGGGCUUACUUCGCGAACCUUUAGCUAAUACCGUUUAAUAUUUUUCACCGCAUGGUUCAAAUGUGAAAGACGCUCUUGCUGUCACUUAUAGAUGGAUCCGCGCUGCAUUAGCUAGUUGGUAAGUUAACGGCUUACCAAGUCAACGAUGCCUAGCCGUCCUGUGAGAGUGAACGCCCAUACUAGAAGUGAGAGACGUUCCCUAUUCAAACGGGAGGCAGCAGUAGCGAAUCUUCCGCAGUGGGAAGAAGAAUGACGGAGCAACGCCGCAUGAGUGAUGAACGUCUACGGAUCAUAAAACUAUGUUAUUAGGGAAGAACACAUGUGUAAGUAAAUGAGAACAUCUUAGCGGUACCGAACAAGAAAGCCAAGGCUAAAUACGUG